Molecule: long non-coding RNA, 446 nt
Filed under: Gossypium barbadense (sea-island cotton)
Lineage: Eukaryota; Viridiplantae; Streptophyta; Magnoliopsida; Malvales; Malvaceae
Description: long non-coding RNA (GBAR_LNC018864)
Source: RNAcentral
AAAGGGUUGAUCCCUACGUCCCCAGAUGUUCCCGCUAGUAAACCCGAAAACAAUGGGUUCAUCCCUACCUCCCCAGAUGUUCCCGCUAGUAAUCCCGAAAACAGUGGGUUGAUCCCUAUCUCCCCAGAUCUUUCCGCUAGUAAACCUGAAAAUAAUGGGGUGAUGCCUAUCUCCCCAGAUCUUUCCGCUAGUAAACCUGAAAAUAAUGGGGUGAUGCCUAUCUCCCCAGAUCUUUCCGCUAGUAAACCUGAAAAUAAUGGGGUGAUCCCUAUCUCCCCAGAUCUUUCGGCUAGUAAACCUGAAAAUAAUGGGGUGAUCCCUAUCUCCCCAAAUCUUUCCGCUAGUAAAGCCGCACACAAAGGGGAGAUAAAGCUGAAGAAACAUAAACACAAGAAAAAGAAGCACCAUGGAAAAGGGAAGAAGCACCGUGGGAAAGGGAAGAAGAA